This 406-nucleotide ribosomal RNA is filed under the name uncultured bacterium. RNAcentral's name for it is "partial 16S ribosomal RNA". It matches the Rfam family "Bacterial small subunit ribosomal RNA", at positions 29 to 526 of the family's 1533-position model. The record is from RNAcentral.
AUUGAACGCUGGCGGCAGGCCUAACACAUGCAAGUCGAGCGAGCGGCGGACGGGUGAGUAAUGUCUGGGAAACUGCCUGAUGGAGGGGGAUAACUACUGGAAACGGUAGCUAAUACCGCAUACCAUCAGAUGUGCCCAGAUGGGAUUAGCUAGUAGGUGGGGUAACGGCUCACCUAGGCGCCGAGCCCUAGCUGGUCUGAGAGGAUGACCAGCAACACUGGAACUGAGACACGGUCCAGACUCCGACGGGAGGCAGCAGUGGGGAAUAUGGCACAAUGGGCUAAAGCCUGAUGCAGCCAUGCCGCGUGUGUGAAGAAGGCGUUCGGGUUGUAAAGCACGUUCAGCGGGGAGGCGUUACCCGCAGGAGAAGCACGGGCUAACUCCGUGCGAGCAGCCGCGGUAAUUC